Molecule: ribosomal RNA, 464 nt
Filed under: Vreelandella stevensii
Lineage: Bacteria; Pseudomonadati; Pseudomonadota; Gammaproteobacteria; Oceanospirillales; Halomonadaceae
Description: partial 16S ribosomal RNA
Rfam family: Bacterial small subunit ribosomal RNA
Source: RNAcentral
CCUACGGGGGGCUGCAGUGGGGAAUAUUGGACAAUGGGCGAAAGCCUGAUCCAGCCAUGCCGCGUGUGUGAAGAAGGCCUUCGGGUUGUAAAGCACUUUCAGUGGGGAAGAAAGCCUUGGGGCUAAUACCCUCGAGGAAGGACAUCACCCACAGAAGAAGCACCGGCUAACUCCGUGCCAGCAGCCGCGGUAAUACGGAGGGUGCGAGCGUUAAUCGGAAUUACUGGGCGUAAAGCGCGCGUAGGCGGUCUGAUAAGCCGGUUGUGAAAGCCCUGGGCUCAACCUGGGAACGGCAUCCGGAACUGUCAGGCUAGAGUGCAGGAGAGGAAGGUAGAAUUCCCGGUGUAGCGGUGAAAUGCGUAGAGAUCGGGAGGAAUACCAGUGGCGAAGGCGGCCUUCUGGACUGACACUGACGCUGAGGUGCGAAAGCGUGGGUAGCAAACAGGAUUAGAUACCCUGUAGUC